Molecule: ribosomal RNA, 514 nt
Filed under: Pseudomonas aeruginosa
Lineage: Bacteria; Pseudomonadati; Pseudomonadota; Gammaproteobacteria; Pseudomonadales; Pseudomonadaceae
Description: bacterial SSU rRNA
Rfam family: Bacterial small subunit ribosomal RNA
Source: RNAcentral
CAGAUUGAACGCUGGCGGCAGGCCUAACACAUGCAAGUCGAGCGGAUGAAGGGAGCUUGCUCCUGGAUUCAGCGGCGGACGGGUGAGUAAUGCCUAGGAAUCUGCCUGGUAGUGGGGGAUAACGUCCGGAAACGGGCGCUAAUACCGCAUACGUCCUGAGGGAGAAAGUGGGGGAUCUUCGGACCUCACGCUAUCAGAUGAGCCUAGGUCGGAUUAGCUAGUUGGUGGGGUAAAGGCCUACCAAGGCGACGAUCCGUAACUGGUCUGAGAGGAUGAUCAGUCACACUGGAACUGAGACACGGUCCAGACUCCUACGGGAGGCAGCAGUGGGGAAUAUUGGACAAUGGGCGAAAGCCUGAUCCAGCCAUGCCGCGUGUGUGAAGAAGGUCUUCGGAUUGUAAAGCACUUUAAGUUGGGAGGAAGGGCAGUAAGUUAAUACCUUGCUGUUUUGACGUUACCAACAGAAUAAGCACCGGCUAACUUCGUGCCAGCAGCCGCGGUAAUACGAAGGGUG